AUUACUAGACAUGAGUAGGUUUAUUUACAGAGAUCACCAGAAGUGUGUCAAUUGAUGAUAUUACUUGUUUGUAUCUACAAUAUUAAGUGGCAAGAUCAGUGAGAAAAAUGAGUGCGACUAUGUUUCUACUGCAUGGCUUUUGUAACAAUAUUCUUCGCAUCAUCUUAUUAUUUAUGCGAAUACUUCUUGCCUUAGUGGACUGAGAAAUAUAAAAAAUAGAUCAUAGACUAAGGCACAAAAAGCAUAUAUUCGGGAACUAAAGUUGCUUCACUAGGCUUUGUUUUCGUAGUGAAAUACCUUUGCCAUCUUACAUAAUUAGAGUUUUGAGUCGUGGAAUAUUUAUUUUAUCUUCUUCUGUCUUAUGUAUUGGAUUAUGUUUUCUAUGAUUUUAAGGGCCAGGGGGAAAUCUUGAAGCAUACCUUCAAGUGGCAACUCGUGGCCUUUUGCCUAAUGAUUUCCUUGUCAAAGUUUCAGACUGCAGUAUAAAAUCGGAAGGGAAAGUUAUGGUUACCUUUACAAGUUGUACAGUAAAAAUAGCACUUCGAAGUAGUUAAGCUUACCGAUCUAAAGAGCAUCUAAUAGCUGUUCUCCUAUAGCUGCCAGAAGUUCCCCUUUGACGGUUUUUGGUCUUGUGUAAUUCCAAGUAUUUCUGUUAUCGCAGUACCGUCUAAUGACCAUGAGUGUCCACCUGUAUAGGGAAGGAAGAAAAUGACCAUGACUAAAAGAAGUUACUGUAAAAUAUAAAGGAUAUCAGAAGUUAUGUACUACUAAAUAACUUUUGUCAAAGGAAACCAUUUUGUUGUUCCUAAAUAAGUAUAUAUUCUUGCUAGGUAAACCUUAAAUAUGUUUGUUUGCCAUCUUUUAGCAAACCACUAUCAUAGGUAGAGCUUUUAGUGUUCCCAAAUUUGACAUCUUCUCUAACAUUUUGGACACGUCUAGUGCAUAGAAGUCGGCAGUGGUAUGAAACAAACCCUUUUUUAUUAUUUUAUUGGAGAUGCAUGACUAAUAUAAUUACAAUAUUUUUUGCAUGUUAAAAAAAAGAACUUCUUAGCUAAGGUACCAUGACUAAUAUAAUUACAAUAUUUUUUGCAUGUUCAAAAAGAAACCUCUUAGCUUAGUUACCAAGAGAGCAAAAAAAAGUUUGUGUUCACUUAUUUGAC
RNAcentral lists this long non-coding RNA (1160 nucleotides) under Musa acuminata (dwarf banana). RNAcentral's name for it is "long non-coding RNA (MACU_LNC000189)". The record is from RNAcentral. Lineage: Eukaryota; Viridiplantae; Streptophyta; Magnoliopsida; Zingiberales; Musaceae.